UACGUAGGGCGCAAGCGUUAUCCGGAAUUAUUGGGCGUAAAGAGCUCGUAGGCGGUUUGUCGCGUCUGCCGUGAAAGUCCGGGGCUCAACUCCGGAUCUGCGGUGGGUACGGGCAGACUAGAGUGAUGUAGGGGAGACUGGAAUCCUGGUGUAGCGGUGAAAUGCGCAGAUAUCGGGAGGAACACCGGUGGCGAAGGCGGUUCUCUGGGCCUUACCUGACGCUGAGGAGCGAAAGCGUGGGGAGCGAACAGG
Molecule: ribosomal RNA, 252 nt
Filed under: uncultured bacterium
Lineage: Bacteria
Description: partial 16S ribosomal RNA
Rfam family: Bacterial small subunit ribosomal RNA
Source: RNAcentral